This 429-nucleotide ribosomal RNA is filed under the name bacterium. RNAcentral describes it as "partial 16S ribosomal RNA". It matches the Rfam family "Bacterial small subunit ribosomal RNA", at positions 355 to 776 of the family's 1533-position model. The record is from RNAcentral.
UAGGGAAUCUUCGGCAAUGGGGGCAACCCUGACCGAGCAACGCCGCGUGAGUGAAGAAGGUUUUCGGAUCGUAAAGCUCUGUUGUAAGAGAAGAACGUGUGUGAGAGUGGAAAGUUCACACAGUGACGGUAACUUACCAUAAAGGGACGGCUAACUACGUGCCAGCAGCCGCGGUAAUACGUAGGUCCCGAGCGUUGUCCGGAUUAAUUGGGCGUAAAGCGAGCGCGGGCGGUUUAAUAAGUCUGAAGUUAAAGGCAGUGGCUUAACCAUUGUUCGCUUUGGAAACUGUUAAACUUGAGUGCAGAAGGGGAGAGUGGAAUUCCAUGUGUAGCGGUGAAAUGCGUAGAUAUAUGGAGGAACACCGGUGGCGAAAGCGGCUCUCUGGUCUGUAACUGACGCUGAGGCUCGAAAGCGUGGGGAGCAAACAGG